RNAcentral lists this ribosomal RNA (459 nucleotides) under Triticum aestivum (bread wheat). RNAcentral describes it as "partial small subunit ribosomal RNA". Lineage: Eukaryota; Viridiplantae; Streptophyta; Magnoliopsida; Poales; Poaceae. The record is from RNAcentral.
AUGUCGGCAUGUAUAUGGAUGGGGCUCUCCGGUGGUGGCUCGCGUUGCUCAGUUCCGGUGGUGCGGCGUCCUCAAUGCAGGCGGAAGGGGAUAGGGUUCCCCUUCGCGGCAGCAGUGGCGUGGCGGAAGCCGAAGGCUCCCGGUUUUCCAUUGUGGUCGGUUGCCUUGCUCGCUUGCUGCUCUUCGUUCACCUCGGUACCCUGCUGCCUCCUUCGACGACAAUUGCUCCUGGAAGCUUUCCAGUCCCACUUGGUCUUUCUUGGACAGCAGUGGUGCACUGGUGCUGUCGGCGAGGUGUGCCCGGAUCGAGGUCGCUCUGAGGCUGCUUUGGCUUUGAGGUUGGCAUCCUUCUUGCUCUUGGGUGAGCGUCUCUAUACUCCAAUGGUACGGCACCCUUCGAGCCAAGGCAAGGGGAUAGGGUAUCCUGUUCUAGACACCAUGAUCUUCAAACCCCUGUGA